RNAcentral lists this long non-coding RNA (8374 nucleotides) under Daucus carota (carrot). RNAcentral's name for it is "long non-coding RNA (DCAR_LNC001239)". Lineage: Eukaryota; Viridiplantae; Streptophyta; Magnoliopsida; Apiales; Apiaceae. The record is from RNAcentral.
AGAAACUGCAGAGAGUGGGUCGAGAAGAGGAGAAACAGCGGUGGAUGGGUGGCUGAUGAUGGCGGUGCCAAGGGUUUGACGGCGGCGGCGCGGUGGCGCGGUGUUCAGGAUGAGGGAGGAGAUUGUGAAACAGGGGUUUGAAGGGUUGGGACAAGGGAGAGUUGCAGAAGAAGGAUAGAGAGAGAAAGAAAGGCUGAGAGAGAGAGAAAAGGAGGGGGAAAGGAGAGGUUGGCAGUGGUGGUGUCCUGACGGAGGUCUGGCCAGUGUGGUUGUUUGUGCAGCUGACUAUUAAACGGCGGUGCUAGCAGCUCAGCCGCAGUUGUGGUGGCGAGAUCACCGGAGAGGAUGAAGAUCAGAGGUGGCUUUGCUAAGAGGUGUAUGUAUUUGUAUAUGUUGUUGGGGUGUUUAACUCGGCAGAGAUUGAGGCUGUGAGUUUUGAAAUGUGUAGGAAUAACUUGUGAAUCAGCGUUGAGUCUGGUGAAUGUUGUGAGCCUAUGAUCAAUCGAAGGGGAAAUUUUCAGGACCGGCCAGUGAGGGGUCAGGGUGCUGCUGUGCCGGGUGACAACAAGUUGGGUUGAAAUUUGAGUAAAGGAAGUUGUUGCAGGUAAGAUGGUGGGCUGAGAUUGAUGAGCAGGGGGGGUAUUCCUAUAAAGGAAAAAGAUAAGUGAGUAAUGGAAUGCAGGGGAGAGUAUAAUGGAUGCCCCUGGUGCUGGUUUUUGGGCUGCUGGCUGAGUGAUAACUAUAGUCCGAUGGUUGUGGGGAUUUGUGGGAAAAUAUAGACAUCUUAANNNNNNNNNNNNNNNNNNNNNNNNNNNNNNNNNNNNNNNNNNNNNNNNNNNNNNNNNNNNNNNNNNNNNNNNNNNNNNNNNNNNNNNNNNNNNNNNNNNNNNNNNNNNNNNNNNNNNNNNNNNNNNNNNNNNNNNNNNNNNNNNNNNNNNNNNNNNNNNNNNNNNNNNNNNNNNNNNNNNNNNNNNNNNNNNNNNNNNNNNNNNNNNNNNNNNNNNNNNNNNNNNNNNNNNNNNNNNNNNNNNNNNNNNNNNNNNNNNNNNNNNNNNNNNNNNNNNNNNNNNNNNNNNNNNNNNNNNNNNNNNNNNNNNNNNNNNNNNNNNNNNNNNNNNNNNNNNNNNNNNNNNNNNNNNNNNNNNNNNNNNNNNNNNNNNNNNNNNNNNNNNNNNNNGGCCGUGACGGCGGUCCAGUGAGGGCUAUAUACGUAUUAUUCGGGCGGCGGUUUGACGUCGCUGGCUGACGAAGAAGGGUAGGAGAGAGACCGAGUUGAAGGCGGCUCUGCCGCGAAAAAGAUAUAGCAGGUGAGUGGAGAAACUGCAGAGAGUGGGUCGAGAAGAGGAGAAACAGCGGUGGAUGGGUGGCUGAUGAUGGCGGUGCCAAGGGUUUGACGGCGGCGGCGCGGUGGCGCGGUGUUCAGGAUGAGGGAGGAGAUUGUGAAACAGGGGUUUGAAGGGUUGGGACAAGGGAGAGUUGCAGAAGAAGGAUAGAGAGAGAAAGAAAGGCUGAGAGAGAGAGAAAAGGAGGGGGAAAGGAGAGGUUGGCAGUGGUGGUGUCCUGACGGAGGUCUGGCCAGUGUGGUUGUUUGUGCAGCUGACUAUUAAACGGCGGUGCUAGCAGCUCAGCCGCAGUUGUGGUGGCGAGAUCACCGGAGAGGAUGAAGAUCAGAGGUGGCUUUGCUAAGAGGUGUAUGUAUUUGUAUAUGUUGUUGGGGUGUUUAACUCGGCAGAGAUUGAGGCUGUGAGUUUUGAAAUGUGUAGGAAUAACUUGUGAAUCAGCGUUGAGUCUGGUGAAUGUUGUGAGCUUAUGAUCAAUCGAAGGGGAAAUUUUCAGGACCGGCCAGUGAGGGGUCAGGGUGCUGCUGUGCCGGGUGACAACAAGUUGGGUUGAAAUUUGAGUAAAGGAAGUUGUUGCAGGUAAGAUGGUGGGCUGAGAUUGAUGAGCAGGGGGGAUAUUCCUAUAAAGGAAAAAGAUAAGUGAGUAAUGGAAUGCAGGGGAGAGUAUAAUGGAUGCCCCUGGUGCUGGUUUUUGGGCUGCUGGCUGAGUGAUAACUAUAGUCCGAUGGUUGUGGGGAUUUGUGGUUGAGGGCAAUAAGAGGGUGCUGAUUGAGGGAUGAGGCAGGAGAAUUGGUGUGGUUGAUAGACAUGUAUUCUGGUAGGGGUGGAGAAUGGUUGCAGAGCAAUUUCAGAAGAUAAAAAUGGAAUGAAUACUAGUUAAUUAUGGAUUAAGUAAUUGUUAUUAUUGAUAUUGUUAUUAUUAUUAUUAUCAAUUCUUUGAUAAUAAUAAUGAUAAUUAAUAAUUCUAAUAACGUUAAUAAUCAAUAAUUGAUUAUCUUGAAUUCUAUUUUUAUUCCGAUUAUUUGUGAAUAAAGGUAGCUGGUUGAGUUUGAAUUGUCUGGAGUAUAAUUUUAUCUAAAUUUGGGAUUGUGUUGGAUAAAUGCUUCGUGCUUUAUAAUAAGUUGAAUUCGAGUAUAUGCAAUGUUCAAGGACCUUAUAUCUACAAUAUAGAUUCAAAUAUUCGAACAGUGGAAUGUGAUUGGAAUUACAAAUUGUAUUAUUAUUAUUAAAAUAAUACGUGUUUCGAUAUUGUGAUGAAUAUUUAUAUUACUUGGACAGAGAUUAUUGUGUUGUUGAUUUGGGGUUUGCUCGAUUUUAAAAGGAUGUGCUGUCCAAAAUUUAUUAUUUUAUUCUGAUUAUAUUUCGAGUGGAAUUGAGAUAUGAUUGAAUUACAAUUGGACUUGUAAAUUAGACUGGCUUGGAUUAUAUUUCUGAAAUAGAUAGUAGUCAGGGAUGUAUUGUCGUUGUGUUGAUUGUUUGUAUAUAAUCAUAUAUAAAAUUAUAUACAUGAUUAUUAGAAUAUUUAUAUUUUAUAUAAAUAUUAAAGCAUGUGCUUAUGUGACUACGUGUUUAACUGAUUGAUACUAUGUAUAUAUAGUAAUUGUAUAUAUUAUAUGGCGAAGGGUAGUAAUAUAAUUUCGAUUCAGCGAUUUGACGGCGGUUGGGAUUGUUCUUCAACUGAAGUAUUGUUUGCUGUUAUAUAUAGCCGGCUGAGACGUGGUCAACAAUGACUUUCAGAAGCCAGCGAAUAGUGUUGCAAGCCAAGUCUGAAAUAAUUCAAUAAGGCCAGAUUGUGCCGCAAGACAGUCCAUUUAGAAUGUAGUGACUGUAGAGUUAGCAGUUGAGGCAAGUCUAGAAACCUCGAGUAGUGUGACCGAGUUGCAUUGUCACAUGUUUUCAGUCAGAGGCAAGUAUUCUUACUCUUCUCUUUUAUUUAAAGAGCAAGAAUUUUAAAUCUCUUUUAAUAAUGCAGUUUUCUAUUUAUGCAUGACUUGUAUUUCCCGCAAGCAUUCGUACUUUUAUACUGUGAUAUAAAUUAUCGAAUAUUUUUUUAGUUCGAUCCUUUUCUAGCGUGAUAUGCACAAUGACAACAUUGUUAGAAAAUUAUUCUGAUUUUGAUUUAAUCAGUUUUCUGAAAGAUUAUUGUCUGAGUUUCUUUACAGUUUGGAACUAUUGAUGACUGUAUAGCAGUCAUAUUUCGAUUCUACAAUAUAUGCCUGGUCUUCUGUCCCAGACAUAAACACUGGAUUUUUAAAUGGCGAAAAUAGUUGUUUUUAUUCCUUUGAGCCGCAUUGCGGUGGAUUUUAGAAUCGUACUCAGACUUUAAUGAAAUUGAUUUUGACAGUAUUUUGAAAUUGAAAACUAAAGAGUUUUCAGAAAGUUUUGAAAGGAUGAUUGUAUGGCAUAAGAGACUAAUUAAUGGUCCAGCCAGAGAGACCAGCAAAAAUAUUUUGUUUUGAUUGGAUGAAUGCGUAAGAGGCCGUGACGGCGGUCCAGUGAGGGCUAUAUACGUAUUAUUGAAAUAUUAUAAUACCUCUGCCAAAGGCCAAUGUGUUGCCUUGUAUUUGGUACCUAUCGUAACGGAUAUACUUCUACGAAGUAUGAUCCAGUGCUAUCACAUGGUCUGAUCAGUUGUGAUAGUACACCCGUCAGUUGUGGAUUCCGAUCCAAAAACUGGUCAAUUAUUGUUUAAGCUUUUGAGAGCUUAUGUUUAUUGUCAAAUUUAUUCUGUGAAAUUUUCAAGCAUAUUGAUUUAUAUGUUUGAUAAAAUUUUGAGUUACAACUGUUAUGAUUUACUUCAAAAGUUGCUUUAUUUUCAAAUACUCUGAUUUAAUUGAAAAGAAAUUAUAUCUUGUGGCUCUUGCCUUUCAUAUUAUCUUGCUGAGCAUUUUCGCUCACCCUUGCUAUUAUUUCUAACCCUUUCAGCUAGGGAUUGAGAUAGUCACCUGUGUAAGCUGAGCGUAAGAUUGAUGCUAGGCGAGACUACCAAGGAGAUGUCUACAAGAAUAGUUUCAGUUAGAAUUGAUUUAUUUCAGUUCAGUUGUAAAUAGAUUUAUUUAUUUGGUUAUCAGUUAUUCUUCUCAUCGAGGCUUAACUGAUAAUGUAGUUUAAGUUGUAAUAUAUUGUAAGUUUUAGUUUCUGAUUUCAGUACUGUAACCUAUUAGCGAUCCUGUUUUUAGGGGGUCAAAGUGAUUUUGAUUUAAAUCUCUUUUAAAAAUUUCAGAUUUUCAAAUAUCUGUUUUACCUUCUUCCGCAAAUACAGGUUUUUUUAUGAUUUUUGAUUUAGUGGCACCAAAUCCCGACCCCCGGAUUUGAGGGCUGUCACAGUUGGUAUCAGAGCUGUAGGUUAUAAGUUAUUGAAAUCAGAAUGUAGAUGGUGAUAAGAUUGUGUUUAGUGGAACCUCAUAUAGAGGUAAGUCAAGACUAUUAGGUAUAGUCUUUGUCAAGAGAACUGAGAUUGAUUUUGGAGUAUUGAUUCUGAGUAAUCAUUUGGGAUAUCCUAGUUUCCAGUUUUAGAACUAGUGAGUUUGGAUUUUAUGAGAAACAUGAUGGAACACCUUUAGUUUCCAAUCUUUUAGAUCUUGAGGUCGACUUUCUGAGUAACUAGUGCCAGCCAGACUUGUGGAGAAACCUGUCAAGUCUAGAAUGUUCCUUACUAUCUUUACCACUUCUAGAGUAUUGGUUAGAAGGUGAUUCAUUGUUUCUUAUAUGGAGUUGGUAGACGAGUAUGAGAUUUGUCGAUUCAGAGUGAGAAUCCAGAUGUAUAGUUCUCGGGUUGAGAGUUUAUAUGGAUUUCAUGUUGGACUACUCGAUAUAGUGCUAUGAGUAGGCUAGAACGUCAACGCUCUGCAUUGCUGAUUGUAUAAAGUUGAAGAUGACUUUUGAUCAUGCCAAGCUGAAUAAGACUUUUUACUAAAGUGGAUAGCGGUGAUGGAAUCUUUAGAGUCAAAUACGAGUCGGCCAGAAUUUUAGAAUAUCAAGAAGAAUUGCUAGAAUCGAAACGAGUUAUCAGAAGAAUCAAUCGAGAAGACAAUUAUGAUAAUGCUGGCAAUACUUUCCUCAUUAUUGAUUAUAUUGAUUAUUUUUCCAAUCAAUAAUUUGUUUUAACAUCUCUUUUAUAAAGAUGUUUAUCAAAAAGCGUAUACUCUCUCUUGAGUAAUACUGCUAUACUUGUGUUUACCCGUAUUUGAAAUGAAGUGUGAAAGAAACUGAUAUGAUACUUAUUUGUAGGUUGUGUCAAGCUCGUCACAUUAUGUUAAUUCAAAUUUCAUUUUCUCUAAGUGGUGAAUGAUUCUUAUUUCAAUUUAUCACCAUUUGCUCACUAUGAUUAAUGAUUUUUGGGUUAUUCUUCUUCUCCGAAAAUUAGCAUCUUUGGAAUCUAUUCAAUUUAGAACCCAAAGUGCGCAUUUAAGAUUCAUUCAUCAAAAGUUAAUUAUUUUUAAUUGAUUUUGAAUUUAUUUUAUAUUUUCUACUCUAACUGAGAUGAACAACCCUAAUUAUAGGGGACACAAGGACUCUCUGUCUGUGUGAUAGAAGUUUGGUGGGACGCCAUCACUUGUGUGUUGUGCAUUACAAGGAGGCUAAUUACCUUUAGUAGUAUCUUUAUCAGGAUACGCAACACUAUGUUCUCUCGAUCAUAUUGAUCUCUCAGUAACUAUUUAUUUCAAGUCAGCUUUGCUUUGUACACUCAUACAUCUGAUAUUCGCUAUAAUAUCUAAAAGUUGAUGUAUUUAAAAGAUUCCAUGAUUCUUGUUCCUCCACUUAAUUUUGAGGGUAUGCCACAUAUGUUUGACAAAGCUAAUCCGGACAAUGCAUGUCAAGAUUCUUAUAAGACUUCAAUUGCAAAAAGGGGAUCACGAUGUGACUUACAAGCAAUAGCAGGUUCUCGUUCGUUCUUCGCGGAUUCCGAGGACGGAAUCCUUAUAAGGGGGGAAGUCUGUGACGACUCGGAAAUUUUUAUAAUUGUUUAUUAGUUGUUAUUAAUUUUCUAAAAAGAUGAGGAAUAAAAUUUUAUAUUAUAUUCCAAAUUGUUGGAUUUCCAAAAACAAUUUUAAUGAGUUGUUGCAAUUAUGUGAUUAAUUGAUUUAAUUAUGUUACGUGUUAGAUGUGCAAUUUAAAUUAUUUACUUUAUGUCUGGUUGUGGAUUUACAGCUUUGAUUUAUUUUAUUAUUUUGAUAAAUCAAAAUUUUCUUAUGAUUCCAAAAUAAAUAUCAUUUUUAUAUGAGCCCAAAGGUUUUGUCGGAUUUAAAAUUAUUAAAAUAUUCAAUUUUGAUACUUUUAUAUUUUUAUCGGAUUCAAAAAUAUUUGAAAGUCUGCAAAUGAUUAUUUUAAUUGUUGUAAUUUAAAAAUGAUUUUUGAGCUUUAAUUGCAAAAAUAGAGAAAGAUUUUAAAAAAUAUUAUUUUUGCAAAUAUUGUGUAUUCGGGAUUACUAGAAUUUACAGGAAGUUUUAUUUUUAUAUUUGGAUGAUAUUUUUGGACCUCCAAAUUGUUGAAAUAGCUCUUAAUUUAAAUUGGGGGUAUGAGUUUUAGUAAAUAUAAAUAGUUUUCUAAAAAUCUUUUUAAUGUAUACUGAUCAGUUAUACAGCAGCGUGUAAACAGUUUUGGGGUAGAGGCGGCUAAAUUAGGGUUUUGGAUUUCAUUCCUUCAAUUGGAUUCAAGCUCUAAUCAGGUGAGUGAGUUGAUUGUGUGUUUAACUGUGUGUAUACAUAUCUCUGUGUGUUGUGGAUUGUUUUGGCGGCUGUCGGAGGAAUCGCGGCGACAGGGUUUCCGCCGGAGUGGUUCGGGCGGCGGUUUGACGUCGCUGGCUGACGAAGAAGGGUAGGAGAGAGACCGAGUUGAAGGCGGCUCUGCCGCGAAAAAGAUAUAGCAGGUGAGUGGAGAAACUGCAGAGAGUGGGUCGAGAAGAGGAGAAACAGCGGUGGAUGGGUGGCUGAUGAUGGCGGUGCCAAGGGUUUGACGGCGGCGGCGCGGUGGCGCGGUGUUCAGGAUGAGGGAGGAGAUUGUGAAACAGGGGUUUGAAGGGUUGGGACAAGGGAGAGUUGCAGAAGAAGGAUAGAGAGAGAAAGAAAGGCUGAGAGAGAGAGAAAAGGAGGGGGAAAGGAGAGGUUGGCAGUGGUGGUGUCCUGACGGAGGUCUGGCCAGUGUGGUUGUUUGUGCAGCUGACUAUUAAACGGCGGUGCUAGCAGCUCAGCCGCAGUUGUGGUGGCGAGAUCACCGGAGAGGAUGAAGAUCAGAGGUGGCUUUGCUAAGAGGUGUAUGUAUUUGUAUAUGUUGUUGGGGUGUUUAACUCGGCAGAGAUUGAGGCUGUGAGUUUUGAAAUGUGUAGGAAUAACUUGUGAAUCAGCGUUGAGUCUGGUGAAUGUUGUGAGCUUAUGAUCAAUCGAAGGGGAAAUUUUCAGGACCGGCCAGUGAGGGGUCAGGGUGCUGCUGUGCCGGGUGACAACAAGUUGGGUUGAAAUUUGAGUAAAGGAAGUUGUUGCAGGUAAGAUGGUGGGCUGAGAUUGAUGAGCAGGGGGGAUAUUCCUAUAAAGGAAAAAGAUAAGUGAGUAAUGGAAUGCAGGGGAGAGUAUAAUGGAUGCCCCUGGUGCUGGUUUUUGGGCUGCUGGCUGAGUGAUAACUAUAGUCCGAUGGUUGUGGGGAUUUGUGGUUGAGGGCAAUAAGAGGGUGCUGAUUGAGGGAUGAGGCAGGAGAAUUGGUGUGGUUGAUAGACAUGUAUUCUGGUAGGGGUGGAGAAUGGUUGCAGAGCAAUUUCAGAAGAUAAAAAUGGAAUGAAUACUAGUUAAUUAUGGAUUAUGUAAUUGUUAUUAUUGAUAUUGUUAUUAUUAUUAUUAUCAAUUCUUUGAUAAUAAUAAUGAUAAUUAAUAAUUCUAAUAACGUUAAUAAUCAAUAAUUGAUUAUCUUGAAUUCUAUUUUUAUUCCGAUUAUUUGUGAAUAAAGGUAGCUGGUUGAGUUUGAAUUGUCUGGAGUAUAAUUUUAUCUAAAUUUGGGAUUGUGUUGGAUAAAUGCUUCGUGCUUUAUAAUAAGUUGAAUUCGAG